Dendrothele bispora CBS 962.96 is the source of this 72-nucleotide non-coding RNA. The record is from the annotation of a GenBank genome assembly. Lineage: Eukaryota; Fungi; Basidiomycota; Agaricomycetes; Agaricales.
UUCCUGGUAGUCUAUCGGUUAGUACACGCGCCGUGAACGCGCGAAAGUUGGGUUCGAUUCCCAGCCAGGGAG